Molecule: long non-coding RNA, 22044 nt
Filed under: Capsicum annuum
Lineage: Eukaryota; Viridiplantae; Streptophyta; Magnoliopsida; Solanales; Solanaceae
Description: long non-coding RNA (CANN_LNC004082)
Source: RNAcentral
CCAAAAUCAUGGUGUGUUGGUCCUCUUUGCCUAGCCAAACAGCCCAUCACAACCGACAACAACAAACACGAAACAUGGAGGAAAUGGCUCAACAAUAAAUUAACCGAAAAACAGCCCGUUCUGUACGUAGCAUUUGGUACUCAAGCAGAAGUUUCUGCCGAACAAAUACAAGAAAUUGCAAAGGGACUUGAAUUAUCCAACACAUAUUUCAUAUGGGUGACAAGACAAAAAGUUCUGGAUCAUUUGGCAGGGUUCGAGGACAGGGUAAAAAAUAGAGCAUUAAUAGUGAAAGAAUGGGUAGAUCAGAGUGAAGUGUUGAGGCACAAAAGCAUCAAAGGGUUUUUGAGUCACUGCGGAUGGAACUCAGUCUUGGAAAGUAUAUGUGCUAAAGUACCUAUUUUGGCGCUACCAUUUAUGGCUGAACAACACAUAAAUGCAAGAAUGGUAACUGAGGAAAUUGGAGUGGGAUUGAGGAUUAUGCCAAGAAAUGGAUCAGUGAGGGGUUUUGUUGAAGCUGAAGAAGUUGAGAAAAUGGCGAGAGAGUUAAUGGAAGGUGAAAGGGGAGAAGGUGUGAGGAACAAAGUGAAGGAAUUGGGAGAAAAUGCAGAGGAAGCUGUGAAAGAAGGUGGCUCAUCUUGGUCCACGUUAGGCCUUCUUAUUGAUGAUGCAUGCGCCGGAAAACUUUGAAAUCUUGAGUUAUUAGUCGGGGUAUGUCUAGAAUUUGAAGUGCAUGGAUUAUAACUUAAUUAAUAAGAUGACUUAGUAAGUUCGUCUAAAUUCGUACCUAAAAUUAUAACCCCCGCCCUCCUCCCCGGGACGCUGCUUAUUAGUGAUUAAUAAUCUAGUGUGGGUUUUUCAAGAGCUUCGUGGUCAUUCCCUGUUUAUGUUUAUAAAGCUUGGUGCAUAUUAUCUGUCCGCAAUAUUUAAUAGCCGCUUGCUUUAACUUGAUCAUCUAAUAAGUAGUUUGCAGUUUAUUACUUCCUCCCUACCAAAUCAUGUGUGAUCAUUUUCUUUUUAAUCCAUCCCAAAAUAAAUAUCGUUUUUCCUUAUUUGACAACUUUUUAAAGGCACAAUUACCCUUUUAUCCUUAUUAAUCUUACUUAAUUAUUUAUCAUCUUAAUAUAUGCAUAAUCUAUUAGAAUGUCCUAUAAUUUUAUUAACUUGAACCUUAAAUGUGAAAAGUUAAUUAGACGUAAAAAGUUAUCCAAAAUCGAUGAAAAACAUUCUAUUUCAAUUUUCAAUCAAUAUGAAUAGAGACGUAAAUAAAAAUAGAGACUAUGGCAUUGUUGAUCGUUUAUUAGUUCUACGAGCUAGGUGGGGCUUCAGGCUAAGAGUCAUUUUGGGCACUUUUGCACAUAAUAUUUCCUACAAGAAAUGGAAAUUAAAUAUCCCAUAGGGCAGGUUCUAGCCUUUUCUCCUAGGUAUGGUAAUUAGAAUGGAAGGUCAAGGUCAUCUUAUGGCUUCACAUUUUUCUUUUGUUUUUAAUUUUAGAGAUAAUACAUCAAAACCUUCUAAACUUAUCUUUCCAACUCACUUAGUACUUAAAUUUUAUGAAUAAUUAUUUAUCUUCCUUAACAUCUUUCAACUGAAUUAUUUUCACACCUUAUACUGACAUGACAUUUAAAAAAAAAAAAAGAAAAAGAAAUGCGUGAACGGUAAUUUUUUUUAAAAAAUACUAAUAUCUAUAUAUAUAUACAUAUAUAUUUCUCUCCUUCUUCUAACACUCCUCCCCCCGCCACCCCGGCCAUCCCACCCCAUCCUAGUCCCUCCCAAACCCGCCAACAACCACCACCAACACCCCCCUCCUAAAUCUAACCCCAAUUACUUCUUCAAUUACCAAAUCACACCCCUACUUCCAAUUUCUCCUCCUUCAUCCCCAAUAAAAAAAGAAAUGAAAUUGAAUUUAAAAAUUAAAAAAUUGACAUGAUUUGAAUAUUUAGUUGUUGAUUUUAGAGAAGUUAGUGCUGAUUUGAUCAAAUUUAUGAGGUGGUUGAGUUUUUCUAUCACUAUUUUAUGAUAUUUCUUUUAUGGUGGUAAUGGAGUUUUCCGGUGAAAAUUCGCCUGGAAAUAUGACGUGUGUGUGCAGGUGUGGCUGUGAGGGUGGACGGAGGUGGAUGAGGGUGUGUGUAGGUGUGGAAGUGUGGGGAUGGACAGAGUGUGUGCAGGCUGGGCGAUGGACAAGAGAGGGGGGAGAGGGGAUGAGGGGUUAUGAAGAAGAUGGAAAAUGGGGAUGGGGCGUGGGGAGGGGUUAUAUAUAUAUAUAUAUAUAUANNNNNNNNNNNNNNNNNNNNNNNNNNNNNNNNNNNNNNNNNNNNUAUGUGUACUAUUUUAAAACAUAUAUAUAUAUAUAUAGUAAAUAUAUUAUUUCUGCUUUUUAAAAUAAAAAUACAUAAAAAUAAUAUGUGUGUGGAAUUUUUCUUUUUUAAAAAAGUCUAAUUUUUUAUGUGGUAAUGAUCUGACACUGAUGUGGGAUUUAGCGCUAAUAUGGUGUUUGUGUAACCUACUCUUUGUUAUGAGAGUGGGCUUUAAUUUUAAGGUAUGAAAAUAAUUCAGUUGAAAGAUGUUAAGGAUAGUAACUAAUUAUUCGUAAAAUUUAAGUGAUAAAGUGAGUUAAGAGGAUAAAUUUAAAGAAAUUUUGAUGUAUUAACUCUUAAUUUUAUUCUUCUUAAAAUAAAAAUUAUAGAUUGCUACAUUUAAGUCAAGAUCUGCUAGCAGUCUUUGUUGAAAGUUCCAAGGGAGACUUGAGUACUGCCAUUGUACCUCUCGAUCAAUCAGAAAACUGCAAGUUGACUUCUCAAUACUUGAAUAUUGAUUCAUCAAUAAUCAAUAACCAUUACAGCGAACAAUAUCCUCGAUUGUCCCAUACGGUAGACAGCAUCUAUCAUAUAUUAAAUUCCAUCAUACUCUAUGCUCCCUCCGAAUCAAAUUAUACAUCAUAAAUUUUUUAAUUUAAUAUCUUAUUUUAUUUAUUUUUUACUAAUCAGAAUAAGAUAAUUUUUUUUUCUUCAUAUUUUACCCUUUGCAUUAAUUAUUUUUUCUUCAAAUUAAAUUAUAAACAUUAUUAAUAGGGAUACUAUGAUAAAUUAGGCAUGUUAUUAAUUAUUUUUCUUAAUCAAUAUGUUAUCUUAAUUUGGAACGGAAAGAGUACAUAAUAAGGUGGUGAAUCAAAUUAUACAUCAUAAAUUUUUUAAUUUAAUAUCUUAUUUUAUUUAUUUUUUACUAAUCAGAAUAAGAUAAAUUUUUUUUCUUCAUAUUUUACCCUUUGCAUUAAUUAUUUUUUCUUCAAAUUAAAUUAUAAACAUUAUUAAUAGGGAUACUAUGAUAAAUUAGGCAUGUUAUUAAUUAUUUUUCUUAAUCAAUAUGUUAUCUUAAUUUGGAACGGAAAGAGUACAUAAUAAGGUGGUGAAUUCUAUCGUCCCUGAGAAUAAGAAUGUUGUCCCUAUGUUUAAUUAUAUAAAUUUUAAUGCAGAAUACAUAACAUUCUGAUUGUGUUUCAUUUCAUUUGUAACUUUUCCUAUAAUGAGAGUGAUCGAGUUUGUGCCUGCUCGCCCGAGGACCAUAGCUAGAUUUUCUAUAUCUAUAAUUGGCCCCAAAAGUGCAGUAUAUGAUUACUCAUUUGCAACUUAGUCGCUUUUCUCUAAAACUUUAACCUUGCACAGUACGUAAUGCAUAUUGAUGGAUGUUUGAGAUGUAGUAACCACACAUAUUAAUAAUGUCUUUAAUUUAGUCUUCCCCUUGACAUCAAUUUAAGCCUAGUACUAUGCUAUGUUGAUAAUAUGUCGUAUUAUAAAUACAGGAUGAUAUAAACUAUAGAACAACGGGACAAAGCCAGAACCAAGUGCUAACAAGGUAUAUGCUCUCAAUCAACAUAAUGAAUAAAUAGCAGACAAACGGCAAUUCGGUCCAAGAACAUUGGACCAAACGACGACCAUCACUAUUUUUCAUCAACAUAGUGUGGAUUCCCUUGAAUUGUUACAAUUUUCCUAAGCUGCAGCCCACGGGCAGAGAUACCUUACCCAAAGGGUGGUAUCAAAAAAUAUCAUUUUAUAAGUGUAGAUUUAAUUUUACAUAUUUUUAACACAUUUUUGUCUCGGCUUAAAACAUUGCCUAGUUCUAAGUAUAACAGUUGAAUAACAAGACAAAUUAAAUAAGUGGUGGUCAAUUGAUCAUAGUCGUAUAAUUGACAGUUGAAUAACAAGACAAAUUAAAUAAGUGGUGGUCAAUUGAUCAUAGUCGUAUAAUUAUCAAUUAUGAGAUAUGUUGUGUCACAAAACUGAAACCGACUUGCUAAAUGUGUAUCAUUGAUUUAAAUUAAAUAGAAUUAUCCUUUUCUGAAGAACAGUAAUAUUGACGUAAGACAAUUCUAUUGGACAGUGUUAAAUUUUACUAAUAAAGAAAUGUAAAACAUAUUAUGUCAACAUUCUUGGCACUAUUUCUCUACAUCUUUGAACAUUAUGUGGUUCAAAAUAAUGCUUUGGGUAGGGAAAGAAAGGUGCCACCAUUAAAUCUUCACAAUUAAUUUGUUUGUUAAAUAGAAGUCUUACGCCGCCUUCCUGCGGUCACCAACGAUGUACUGUCUUAAUUGCUUAUUUCGAAAAUACUACGCAGUGUCUCAAUUUACAGGUACAUUUUAAAAUUUAAAAUGCAACCAUUUAAAUUUUGAUCAAAAAUUUUGCAACAUAGAAGUAAAAUUUUUUAAAUAAAAUUUAUAUAUUUAUAAAUUAAAUUAAAAAUACUGAUAAAUUUCAAUAAUUAACAACUAAAAAUAUUAAAAUGUCCUAACUAUAAAAGAAUGCAGAUAAGAGAAAAUUAAUUGACACUCAAAAUUUCAAUGAUAUAUAAUAAUGGGAAAAUUUCAGAAAUAGCAACUCUAUAGCCUUAAUUAUAACUUUUAUAGCAACAGUUUCAUAAUUACAAAAAGUAGCAAAUUGUAUUUGUAUUUAAGUAAAAUGUUGCUAUAUAAAUACAUAUACAAAUAUAUAUGUAUUACUCAUAAAUACAUAUGCACAACUGAAAAAUACAUAUUCUUCUAUUACUAUGAAGUGGGUAAAAUAUUGUUACUUUUGCUAUAAGUUGUAAUUUUGAAAAAGUAUUGCUAUUUAUUGUAAUUAUAGUCUUAAGGAUGCUAACUUUUGUAAUUUUUCUUAUAAUUAAUUGGGACGUAAGGAGUACCAUAAUUAACACCCGAUCAUUUUCACAUUAUACAAAAUAAUUUAAUCACAAGAAUUAGAAAUAAAAAUAAAAUAUGUUUAUCAAUUAAUCGUAAUUUUGAUGAUAAAAUUUUGAAGCGCGCGAAUUUAGUUUAUAUUCAUUUGCUUGCAUGUGUAAGAUCAACUACUCUGUCCCGCGGGGAUAGGGGUGUUCAUGGGUUUGGUUAAAAAUCAAAUCGAAUCGUAAAUCAAACCAAACCGAUUAAAAAAUCGACGUUUGGUUUGAUUUAGUUAGAUUUGACUUUAAAGUUUACAAAAAUCAAUGUUAUUUGGUUUGGUUAUGAUUUUACUUAAAAAAAAUCAUAAAAUAAUCAAACAGAACCGAUAAAUUUUAUUUAUAUAUGUAUAUAUAUUAUAAUUAUUUAUAUAUAAGUUAUAAAUAAAAUAUAAAUAUUUUAUUAAAUUUAAUCUUAAACUAAAUUUUAAUCUAUGUCUAGCCCAACCAAUACUUUAGCCCAAUUGCCCAAAGCCCCAAACCCAAGCUCAACUCUACCUACUAUUACUAAUAAGUUAACCCCAUGGUCCCUGCCUCACUUUUUCUACUUCAAUUUUCACAAUACGUAGUACAUCAACUGUUGCUUCUUUUGUUCUUCAUUGAAAAGCAGCACCACAUUAGCUUCUGUUGUUCUUCAUAGAAAGUAAACGAUAAAAAAAUUUCUUUUCAGUUUUUCAUCUCACAAGGAAAAACAAAAAUAAAGAUUGAAGUUUGGGAAGUGAAAACUGUAAAUACAAGAUUAUUAAAGCUUGGGAAGGUAAUUUUUAGUUUUUUUAUUCUAACUACCUUAGCUAAUUUUAAUUUUAUACAAGAAUUUAGAGGAGUGCAUGACAUGCAAUUAGUUUUUUUAAAUGAUUUUUUCUUCUGUUUCCUGUCAUUCGUACCUUUAAUUAUGAGCAAUUAUAUAAAUCAUUGUCGUUCUUUUGUUUAGUUGUUUACGAGUAGUAGAUUAUGCAAAAUUGAACUAAAUUUGAAAGAGGGGGCUCUUAUAGUCCUAGGCUAAGAAUUACCAAGGGAAGGGGUUUUCCCUCUCGUUUGUUUUGCAUUGAUGGUUCAUGCAACUGCAAGUGUUUCACUUUCUUCCUGCUGUUUAUAUUUGUGCCAUGUUUUCUAGAGUCUCGGCUAGCUCAGAUAUUGCAAUAUUUUCUUGUUUAGUUUCUUAACCCCCUAUAUCUCGUUUACGCUCGAUUUCGUAGUGUAGUCUUCUCUUCAUUUUUUGUGGAAUGUUUUCGGUGAUAAAAUCUAAUUCUAUUCUAUAGUAAAAUCCCAAAGUUUCAUGGGAUGGAACUUCAACCAGGCAAUGGUGCGGAGGAAUUUUAUUAAAUGUUACUGAAUUUUUAUUGAUGUACGGUUUGUGAAUAACCCAAGAGAGAUGGCAGGAACGAUGACUGCAACUGUAAUUCAUAUGUCGCUUCAUCUUCGAUAACAUAAACAAAGAAUCUUUCAAUCGAGUUACCAUGGUCCCUGGCUCAAAUGGUAGUUUUAUGUCUCCUUAUUUAUUCAAUCUUUUUUCUAUAUGAUUAGCUCACCUAGCUAGUCUAUAAAGUAAAUAGAUAACUCAAAUUUGUCCAACUCUGUCUCUUCUUGCAGUACACUACAACAGAAUAUAAAGCUUUAUUUUACAAUGUACAUGUAUGUGUUUGUAUGUUGUUGGAUAAUCUUAGUGCCUACAAUACAAAGCUAGUGUUUUUCAUCUCAAUGUUGAUUUUGUUUAAUGUGUUUAUUCUGAUUUUUAAGAAUUUAUAGUAUCAUUUGUCCAUCACUGUACAAAUAUUUCAUGAGAAUUUGUUCAAUUUGAUACUCUUUUCCAUGGGUUAAAAAAUGAGUUUAUUCUAGAGAUGGUUGGAGUAGGCUAGUCAAUAACAGAAAAAAUCGAAAAAACGAACCAAACCGACGGUUAUUUUCUUUUUGUGGUUUGGUUUGGUUUUAGAAAUUCAAUAACCAACUAAAUUAAUUUUUGUUAUAGUUUAACCACUAACCGAUCCAAACCUACACAUGAACACCCCUACGGGGGGAUCUACCAAAAAUCCACCAUCUUGAAGCAAUUGAUUGUGUCAUUUACAACUUUUUUUUUAAUUCCCAUUUGAUAUUCGCUAUUCUCUUGAACCCCGACUAAUUCGGAUCGCGUGUUGCAGGUCUAUUCUGGAGGUAGCGUGUAACAACCUCAAUUUCACACCACAACUCUAAUAUAUAUAUAUAAUACUUUCAAAUCUAAAUACAAAUAAGAAUUCGAACAACAAAGUAACAAUGGACAAACACUAAUGGGAAAUCAACGAGUAAUAGAGAAAGGAGGUAACUAGAAGGAGAUGAGAUAAUAGAUCAUUGAAGGAGAGUUGAGAGAAUAUAGACUAAGCCGAAGCUUCAACAUAAUUUGCAUAAUCUCUUCCGUAGGUAAUUGCUCUCAUUUAACGUGCUUGCUUAAAUCGAACCCCAAAUAAAAUCCACUCUUUUGUUGGGCUAUAACUUCACCUCAAGCUCAAGUCCAAAGCCCAUGACAAAGUUCAUAACAAUACCCCCUCCUCAAUAAGAACCUUGUCCUCAAGGUUCAAGAUAAAGAAUCCAGCAAAAAGUAAGUUAAAUUUUGACCAAGGUUUGAUGGAGCAUAGCUGGAUUUGAUAUUCAUCAGGUGCAAUAACCAUGUGACUCCUCGAUUCCCGCUUGAGAAAUUCAUUUGCAUGCAUAAGUAGAGGAGCAUAUGCUGAAAGGAUAACAUGAAUGGAUCCAGAAAUUAUCAAUUUGUCAUUGUAAAAAAUAAGAAGGCCCUACUGAGAAGUUGUUGCACAUUGCCUAGGGUCUUUCUCCAAUUUCCAUAACUUGUAGUUACAUGUAUUAUGCCAAAUAAACUUCUUCGAUGAACCUCCACCUGCAACCUUCACAACGUUUGUGCAUAUUCUAUCAGAAAUUCUUAGAGCUCUACAAAAUAUAGUCAGCUUGAACUCCAAAAGAUCCUCACUCCAACUUUUAACGUCUCCUGGCCACAAACCUCCGAAAGCAUCCAUGUAGAUGUCAUUUGGCCAAAGCGAUGAGUUUCUUAACAUUUUCAAUAUAGUGAACAAGCAAAGAAAUGCACUGUAAUUCAGAGGUAUAACAGAUGAUACGCCGCAAAUAUAGGAACCUGUUAUUUUUUCUAAUGUGGCUAGAUUGUUCUUCUCUUUCAUAUUUUUAAAAACUACCUUCAAGUUCUGUUCACAGUGAUCAUAGAAGGAAAGAGGAGCUACAACAUGCUCUCCACUAAGUUCAAAAGGACAAACAAAAGUUGAUAGAAAACAAGCUCUUUCACCCCACGGCCUAAGCUUAUGCUCUGAUAAUACCAUUAACCGAAUGAACUGCAAUAGGGACUCUGCUUGGAAACAAUUACUCCCAACAACAAUGCUAUCAACGAGACAACUCUGUAUCAUCUGGUAGCAUGAGGUAAGUUGUUGGUCCAUCGUCUGUGGUCGAAGUUCUUUGCCAAAAUAUAACAGUUGGCGAAAUAUGCCCACUACAUCAGAUGAUUUCCUUGAUUGAGCUAGUGAGGAAACAUGAGAUACUGACACAAUAGAUUUCAUUGGGUAAACAGAGUCUAUCAAAUCAGGUAACACAUCAUUAAAACUGUACGCCACUGCGAUUCUUGCAUCAACACAAAAUUCAUUUAUAUGUGUUCUCCAAAUGUCAUCUUUCAUCACGUUAUCAAAGACAACAUAUAUUGGAUCCGUUAAAUGACCCAAAAACAUCACAGACAUAUCAUAAUCAAGAAAAGUACCAGGAUAAAAAAUAAGAUAUGAUGAAGUUCGCCUUGAUAUAUGAACUACUCUAAACAUAGCAAACAAGAGCACAUCAUUUUUGUUGACCAGAAUAUUUUGCAUCUGUUUUGAGAAAUGCCUCGAACACCCCCUCUAUUUUUACUUCACUAUCAAGCUCUCUCAAUUUAGACAACAAGAUACCAUGAAGAUUACACUCUUGUCUAGUAUCAACCCAAUUGCAAGAAUUCCACAAGGUUGACAUAAUUAACUUAUCAUGAUACAAAUCGCCUAAAGCAAUACAAUAUACAUAAUUUCUUAUAACUCUAAGGAAUAUAGUAAGUAAAUUAGAUCCAGGAUCAAAUGGAAACUCUAAUCCAACUAAGGACAGUUCAAGCAUCUGCUGGAACCUUCUCAACCAAGUUGGUUAAAAUGGACAACUGAAUUAUCCAGUAAAGUUGCACCCAUAAAGUAUUGCACAACUAGAUAUUUUUUGGGCAAAACAAUAGAGCAUAACAGAGAAACAACCAAUAUUUCAGCCCAUUUCAUCCUUAGACAAGUAGGUAGUAAAGUUAUAUAAUAUAUCAGGAGUUGGAUAAGCAAUUUGGUCAAACACACAAGCUACAUAGUCUAUCUUCCAUAUGUUGACAACUUUUGUUUUCAAAUUUAGUGGAUUUCCUGCAUAUCUACGAAGUAUACCAAAUUGCUGAAGCCCACAUGUCAACGAAAUAGGUAGAGGAAUAGGCUCAUCGGGAUCAAAGAGAAGGUGCAUGGAUAUAUGAUCAGGCAUCAAGAUACUAACCAAAAUUAAGAGAGCAGUUCUUUCCCAUUGUGGUUCAAACACUUCAUGUGCAAUUAAAAAGUACUCAGGUCUAUAAAAAAAUAGCAAAUACCUGACCCACAUAAGCGUUUGAGUUCUCUUCAUCUUGGUAUGUUGUGACAUAACCUUUUCAUCCUCAAUAACCAAAGGAAGUUCACAGGUUUCAAUAUUAAAACCUAAUUUCCCUCAAUAUUCAAUCUUUGACUCUUGAUUUUUGUUGAGAGCCCGACUUAUAUUUUCAAAAUUAUCAUCGAUAACUUUGAAAAUAUAUGCUCAAUUCGUUGAGACAAAUCAUCAAACACCUGGACCUCAUGUGUUGCUGAAAAGCCCUUAACUGACUCGUCAAUCGCCGUACCUAGAUUUGAGACAGGAGAAUAUUCGACUGGUUUAGACAAGUCGAAAUCCUCCUCAUCUUCGCAAGACAAGUUCACAUUUGAAAGUCUGAUAUUUGUAGUGGCUGGCUGAGAGCAAGCCGAUAGUGCAAUGUGCAGAUCGUCAAGUUUGAUAGAAUAGUAACUCUCGUCUUACUUCUGCUGCAAAUUAAGGGCAAUGUCGACAUGGUUAUGUAUCAUGUUAGAGCCAUUUCGAAAAUGGAUUUUUAAUUUCUCAGUGAAAUACUUCUAAUCAAAAAAUUGCUUAUUGCGAUACAACCACUGGAACCAAUCAUAAGCAACACCAUUGAGAUAAAAGGGAGCUAGAGGUAGCCAGUCUUUCUCAGGGAAGCCGAGGUAGGCAAAAUAUUGCUCGGCACAACGAAUCCACCCUUCUGGGUUGAUGCUGCAAAACUUAUCGCGGACCAUCACUGCAAUAGGAGUACGAUCGAUGAAAGCACCAAUGUAAUGACCUCAAUUUCACACCACAACUCUAAUAUAUAUAUAUUAUGCUUCCAAAUCCGAAUACAAAUAAGAAUUCGAGCAAUAAAUUAACAAUGGUCAAACACUAAUGGAAAAUCUACGAGUAACAGAGAAAAGAGGUAACUAGAAGGAGAUGAAAUAAUAGAUCAUUGAACAGGAGAUGAGAGAAUAUAGACUAAGCCGAAGCUUCAACAUAAUUUGCAUAAUCUCUUCCAUAGGCUAUUGCUUCCAUUUAACGUAUUUGCUUAAUCUGGAUCCCAAAUGAAAUCCACUCUUUUGUUGGGUUGUAACUUCACCUCAGGCCCAAGUCCAAAGCCUAUGACAGAGUUCAUAAAAUAACGCUCUCAACAGGAUUUUCUCUAUAUUUUGAACUCGAACUUAAGACCUCUUAUUAAGGAUAUAACAAUCUCAUCACUAUGCCACACCGGAUGUUGAUCGCCUACAACAUCAAAAUGGCAACCAGUUGGACUUGGAUUUCAUCAAUCCCUCGUGUAGACAUUUGCUGAUUAUUUAUUUGCUUUUGAGACAUGUUUUAUACCAAUUUUGUUGUUUUUACGCAAAAUGCCUUAAUUUUAUCGUAUGUACUUGUGUCCAAAACAAAAACAGUUCUCUUUUGUUCAAUUCGAUCGAUUUCGUUUUUAUUUGUUAUUAUUUUUUAAUUUAAUUUUUAUUUUUGCUAAUCAAUUUUGAUAUAUUAAUAAUUUUUUUUUUCUAUUUUAUCUUAGCAGUAAUUAAUUAUUCUCUAAACUAUUUUCAAGACAUAUAUUACGCUAAACAUCAUUUAAUAGGGGUGGUAUCGUGAAAUAUCCGUAUUAAUUAUUAUUUUCUUAAUAAUUGUGUCAUGUCAAAAAGUGACAAGUAAAAGCUAACAGUCACAGACGAAAUAUAAGGACAUAUUCACUAAUAAUUUAUUGUUUAUACUUCCUCUGUUUGUUUUUACUUGCAUUGUCACUAAUUCCUAAUUAAAUUUCUAUUCACUAAUUCCUAAUUAAAUUUCUAUUUUUACUUGUCAUUUUUGACACAUCACGAAAAGAUAAUUUUUUUUCUAUUUUAACCUUAGAUUUAAUUGUUUUUUUUUUCCAAAUUAAUUUCAAGGUACUCCCUCUAUUCCAAAUUACCCGUCCCAAAUUGAAAUAACACAUUGAUUAAGAAAAAUAAUUGAUAACAUGCCGAGUUUACCAUAGUACUCCUAUUAAAUGAUGUUUACAUUUUAUUUUGAAGAAAAAGUAAUCAAUGCAAAGGGUAAAAUAUGAAAAAAAAAAUUGUCUCUUCUUGAUUAAUGAAAAAAGACGAGUGAAAUGGAAAAUCAAAUUAAGAAAUUUAGGACGGAGGGAGUAUAAUGAAAGCAACAUUUUAUAGUGAUAUUAUGGUGAAAUAGUCAUGUUAUUAAUUAUUUUCUUAAUAGAUGUGUCAAUUCAAAAUGUGACAACUAAAACCGGGGGAAUAUUAUCUUAGAACUAGCUGCAUGAUCAGCAUCGUGAGCAGUCAAUUAGGUGGAAGUAUGCUGUUAGUGGAGUUAAUGAGGUUGUUAGAGUUUGUUAACAGUGCACGUCAUAUAUAGGCACGUGCGGUAAAAUUAAUCACUCAUAUUUAUUAUUCGAGACAAGUAUCAAUUGCCCUCUGAACUUGUUAUGUUUUAUUCAUGGUACAUCUGAACUUUGACUAGUUCUAGGUACCCCCUUCCCUCCCCCUACCUCGAACCUAUUCUUUUAGUACGUCGCAUGGCUCUUUUCAGUUGAAGGAUCAGAACGUGUAAAACACGCAUGUACAGGUUAAAAAAAUGCCUACGUGUCUGUACACGUGGAUAAAUACCAUUCACUUUCCUUAUAUUAAUUCUAUAUUAAAAAUUAACCCACUUCUAUAUUUAAUUAUCCGAUUUCUCUCAAAAAAAUUAUAUUUUUCAAUUUUCCUCUACUCCGAAAUAGUGAAAGGUUGAAUUUCAUCGAUCAAGUAAGUUAUUAUCUGAAAAAAUUAUAUUUUUUGUAUGUUAAAAAUAUAAAAUUAUUUUUUUCGGUUAGUGUUUCAUAGUAGUUUCCGAUUAGUGUUUCGAUUAGGAUUUUGAGGAGACUUACAUGCACAAAUACAUUUCUUAUUAUAAUUAAUGGAGUAAGCAAUUGCAAUUUAAGUUAGGGGUGUACAAAAAUAGAGCUGAUAAAAAUGUUAUUGAUUUAUCUUUAUCGGUUUACUGAUUUUAUAAAAAAAUUAUUGGGUUAUUGAUUCAAUUUCAAUUUUUUUUAUUGGGUUAUUGGGUAAAUCGGUAAACCCAAUAAGUAUAUAUAUCUAUAAUCUAUCUAUAUCUAUAAUAUAUUAAAAAUGUGAAGACCAUUAGAAAAAUGAUUGAACUUUUUGCCCUUCAUUAACUCACUCCAUAAUAGACAAAAUCGUCAUUUACUAUUUUUUAAAAAUAAUUAUUAUUAAAUUAUUAUUAAAAUGGUUAGAAUAAAAAAAAAAAGAAAUAAUCCCACACCUGAAAGGAAUUAAAUAUAAUGAGUCAAACUUUUUGUUAGGAGUCCUAUUUAGGAGAAAAAUGAUGUAAAAGGAAAAAAAAAUUAAGACAAAUUUAUAUUUGUUGAAAAAAGAAAUACGCAUGACAACUUUUAAGGGAAAAAUUUUUUACUAAUCAAAGUAUAAUUCCUUUUAAAGAAAAAAUCUAUGCAAAAGGAAAAAGUUUAUUUGAUUCAGAUAAGAAAUCGUAUUAUUAACACUUCUAAAUCAAUUAGAAUUUUACCUUAUAUAAAAAUUUCUAAAUCAAAUAGAACUUUACCUGAUAUAAUUUUUUUUUUUUACCUUAUAUAAAAAAAAGAAUGUCUAUUUUUUUUUUACCUUAUAUAAAAAAAAGAAUCUCUAUAAUUCUAUUUAAGUCGUAUUUUGAUCAAAGUUUACUUGAAAAAAUUUUGAUUUUAAUAAUUAAUAAUUAAUUGAAGAUUUCUUCUUGGGUUCAUGACUAGAGUUUUCUAACCUUCUUUGUUAGAUGAAUUCUCUUUUAAUUUUUGAUUGCACGCAUUUAGUUUAAUUGUGAAUAAAUCAUGAGAUCUAAUGUAUCAUCAUUAUGUUUGUUAAUAAACUUUAUUUGUUGAAUUUUUUGAGGAGUAUGACAACUCAUGCAUUCUUCCAGAAUUUGUUUCCCCUAUCAUCCACCACUUUAAUUUUAGUAUUGAUUUCAAAAUACGGUCAUCAGGUACAUAUUGUUUUCAUAUUUUUAUCGUCUUGAGAAAAAUGACAGUCGACAUCCUUUUGAUUCCUUUUCUUUGUUUAUCUCAAUUGUGGGAGAUUUUGGCAUAUUGGGAUCAUUAAAUCUUUCAUGUAAAUAGGUCUAGAAAAAUGAGAAAGGGUUUAUUACUAUAUUUCCUGUUUGUAUGAAAACCUUAAUUUGGUGUUAUUGUGAUCUCCACAAUACAUUCAUGCCGGUCAUUGAGAUAUCAAAAGAAAGCCAAAUCAAAUAUGAGUUGGACAACAAAUUCGAUCUUAUUAAGAUAUAUGACACGAUGAUCUAAAUUAAGGUAGCUCUAAGCGAUCUCUGAGGAGAAACAUGAUCAAACAGUAGUUGAAGAGGUGAUUUUAAUUUCUUUUAUCAAUUCAAAUAACUAUUUUUCUUUAAUAAAUGAUAUUUUGCAACUUGCAAGCAUAUUUUUUCAUUCGAAGUGUUAGUUCAAAAUUGGGACAUAACUCCUUUUUACUAUCUAUUUUUUUUUAAUUGUAUAUAAGCCAAAGUUAAAGUCUUCUAGCAAAAUUAUUUAUUUUAAAGUUAAUGACACUUUCUAAUGAUUUUAUUGUUUGCAUAUAUUUACUUAUGAUACUAUGUUUAGGACUUAAGUAUACCAAAUCCUUUAUAUUCAUUAUUUACGGAAGGUAAAUAUAUCUUUUUAAUUAUAUUAUUUUUGUAAUUGAUAUCUUUUUAAAUAUAAUAAAUAUAUGUAAACAUGGUUGAUCAUAAAUAUACCUUUUAAAUAUAGUCAAUUUUAAUUAUUUUUUAUUUAUUUUGUGAAAGUUUGUAAUGUAAGCUUUGCAUAACGUCAUAUUAUUCAAUUUCAAUAAUAAUAUUUUUCUAGGUUUACAAAUGUAUUUUUUACUAUAGAACUUUAUGAGUUAAAGCUGUAAUUUUUGUUAUGAAUUUUCAUGAUUUUUAGAUUUAUUUUUUUAUGAACAAAAAUAUUUAUAUUUAUUUGUGCUUGAUGAAUAGAAUGUUUGAAUUUUGUGGGCAUGAAAAUGUAUUACAUUAUAAGGUGUGUUAAUACCCCAUGAAAAUGAUUAUGUGGUCAAUUUUUGAAUUUUUUUAUUUGGCAGGUUAGAAAAAAAUUUCUGUUAAUUUGAAUUUAAAUUGUUAAGUUGUUAAUUAAUCAUAUUCAUUAUUUACAUGAAUUUGCAUUCUAUGUUAAAGCACACAUCGAAAACUAAUUUAAAUAAUAAAGAAGAUCUAAAUAAAAUAUUAAUUGAUUAUAAAGGUCCUAAAUUAAAUGACAUGAAAGAUAUUGUGGUUACAUAAUGCAUUAAAUUAAGUAUAUGUUUGAAAAUACCUUAGGUCCAAGAAUGAGAGAUUAGAUUAAAACAAAUUUAACAAAAAAAAAAAAGAGUUUUAACUUCAACUAUUUUCAUGAAUGAAAAAAAAUUAAUUUUGUUUUAAAAGUAUUUUUGAAAAAAUACAUUUAAAAGCACUUUUAAAAACUUUGUCAAAUAUUUAUAGUUAAGUUAUAUACAAUAGUUGUUCUGUUUUUAAAUUUAUUAGUCAAACACAAAUUAUUUCUAGCCGAAAAAUAGAUAUCAAAAUAAUUUUAUAAAAUUAAACUCAUUGAAGCAAAUUACACGCGUGGAACGUGUAUGCUAAAUCUAUAUAUAUAUAUAUAUAUAUAUAUAUGAGUAGGAUUUUAGUUGCAACUAAAAUUCGAUUUCUCUUCAUGUUAAUUACUACUUUUUUUUAUUUUAUGAGUAUUUUUUUAUCAGUUAAAUCAAAAAUUAAAGCGUUAGGGACUAAAAAUUGUUAACCAAUAUAAAUACAUACAAUCGAAGAAUCUGCAUUUGAAAUUGUCAUACGAUCAUGAAAUUCUCACAAUUGGACGAGAUCCACAUGCACAAACAAGCCUCCUAUUAUAAUUCAUGGAGUUAGAAAUAAGUAGAUAAAGUAGAAGCAAUAGAAUGAUUUUUUUAUUUUAGAUUGAAAGUGAUGGAGGAAGAGGGAUAAUUGAAUUUUUUAAAACAAAUUAAAGGAAAAUAAAGUUUUUUCAUUUUUUUAUAAUUGAAAAUGCUGAUUUGGCCAAAAAAUAACUCCAUCGCGCAUGUGAUGAAGUGUGAAAUCAAAUAUUUUGCCACAUUAGCAAAAAAGGGACACUCGAUGUAGAAAAAAAAUAAGAUUGAGGGGGGUAGGGGGAAGGUAUUUAAGACUAGUCAAAAUUUAAAUGUACCAUAAAUAAAAUGUGAUAAGUUCAGGAGGUGAUCGAUACUUCUCACUUAUUAUUAAGGAGGAUAAUACAAUUAAGAAAUUUUCAACGCAAGAACAUGCACCAAUUAUUAUCUUCAAGCACACUUCACUCUCUUUGUUCUAAUUUAAUUAGGUGACAUACUCACUCCGAGAUUCAAUUCUAAGAGAUUUUACUUUCCAAUAGUAGAGUCCGGAAUCAAAAUAUGUCAUGAAUUUUAAAAAAAAUAUUAAAAUAUGUCAUAUGUGACCAUAAUAUACUUAGCUCACUUUUUAAGUAAGUUAUAUAAUAGAUGUUACAUAAUUCAUUUUUUAAGUGAGUUUUACAUUUUUUUCUAUAUAACACUCACUUAAAAAGUGAGUUAUGCAUAUUUUUUCUACAUAAAUAUAAUAAAAGUUAUAUAACUCACUUUAUAAAAACUUACAUAUUAUGUGAACAAUCAAUUUAUCUUUUUAAAAUUUUAUUUUUGGAAAGAAGACCAAUUAAUACAAAACGAAGGAUGUAAAACUCACUGAUUAUGUGAAUUAUUCAAAUAUAAAUAAGUAAAAAAAAUGAGUUAUCCAUUGAAUAUAACUCUUAAAAUAUGUGUGAUAAAUGCAUAACUUUAUUAGUGAUAUGAAAUAAGAAUAUGGUGCUAAAAAUAUAUGAAUUAUGCAAUACAAAUUAUAUACCACACAACUAGACGUAAGGAUGGAGUAUAUGCUCAUUAAUUGUUAUAUAUAUCAUACAACUAAUUUUUUUUUUUAAAAAAAUAAAACACAUAGAGAAAGUUGUUACAUGUACUUUCAAAAUAUAUCAUACAAAGUUGAUAUGUUCAUCAAAAACUUUUGUGGCUCCUCGUCCACCCCUCUGCACCGGUACAACACCUCCACGUCCACAUCUACGUUUGCAUCCUCCCCCUCCUGUCACACCCCCUUUUUAACUCCAAAAAGAUCCGUUUUAAGUUUCGAAAGAGUUUUUAUUAUUAAAGUGACAAAAUGAAGAUUUGUUCCGAAAAAGAAUUAUUUUCAAUUAACUCAGAGUCACCACUUGAUAUAGAUCGAGUGUGCCAAGUCACCUUUGGAAAUCCUUUUCAAAAUGAUUUGACUCUAAAAUUCGGUUUGCGAACAGAGAUUCCAACUAAGGAAUUCUGUUGACCGAUGGGAAGGUGAUAGGCAUCCCUCGAUCCCGUGGUUCGACCACGGUUGCUUGGUGGAGCGCAUCGGCUAAUUUGACACUACGAAUGUAUAAACCACACAAAACACAUAAAAACAAUCAAUCAAACAAACAAAACAAAAACAAUUCAAAAUAUAAUGUCCAGUUCAAUUUAUACAGUCCCAAGAUAGAAAAAUGCGAAAAAGUAAACCUAUGCUAACCUACACUAAUCCUAAACUACGAUCCCAUGCUUUACCCGAAGCCUCGAGCCUUGAUCACGAACCUUCUUUGCGUACAUGAUACUUCGAGGCAUUUCCCGAUGAAUAAGUACAGUAUAACCUCAAGGCAUUCCUCGACGUAUGAAUACAUCUUCAAUUCACAUUCAAACAUUCAACAAAACACAAUUCCUAAAAUUUACCUACCCGACUUAGCAUUUGCUUACUAGAUUCAGUUUAUCACAGUUCCAACAAAUUCAAUAUAAUCAAAGAUCCAAAAAUUAACAUGAAUUUACUUCAUCACUUUUAACCCCUUCCAAAAUUCAUUUCUCAACCAAACGAUUAAUCGAUUUCAAGGUAACAUCAACCAAUCAAAUCAUGAUAAUUAAAGAACGUCAAACACACUAUCAGAAUUAUAUCAUCAAUCAACACGAACCACGCAAAUCACAACAUUAACACAUAAUAUUACGAUAAAAAUGAAAAAAAUAAAGUUGAAGAAUUGAAACUCAAAUUGAUGCUUUGUUAAACGGAGAAAAAGCCUCACAGAUUCGGAACCACGAACUUACAGAACCUCGACCCAAAUGGAACCUCAACAUCGCACAAACCAACUACAACAUAGACCCAUUACUAUUUCUCGCCCCAACAGAUCAGAAACCACAAAAUGAUGAAGACCCAUACUCAUCCCAUAUCGUUUUCCGAUGGAUUCUGGUGAAUAUUCGCAGGGAAGGGGACGGGAAUGGUUGCUGAAUGCGACUUGGUCAGAAAAUCGGGUGAAACCAGUGGUGGUCGGUCGAAUUCCGGUAGAUUCUGAGCUAAUGGGUUUUUCUCCGGCAAGUUUCCGGUAAGAACUUGCCGGAAACAGCUAAUCUUUAUCUAUUUUUUCCUUUCUCUAUCUUCUUCUCACCCAAUUUCUUUUGUUGUUCUCCCUCAAUCUCUCAAAUCUCCUCUCUGUGCGUAUCUAUCAGUUUUUGUAUGUGUUCUCUCGUGUGUGGGUUUUCUGAGAGUGUGUGUGUGCGUGUUACUGUGUAAAAGAAAAGAAGGAAAAGAAAAUGGAGUCUGUGAGUGUUUGAAUGGAGAAGAUGAUGUUGCCUGUGUUCCUUUGCUGUAUUGUGUAUAUACUCCCCCUUUCUUUGGGGAAAAAAAAUAUGGGGGAGGGGCUUAAAGGGUAAGGGUAGGGGUAUAGGUAUAGGUAUAGGUGGGGUAGGUUGUUAAGAUGAGUUCUAAAGUUGAUUAGGAUAGUAUUAAAAUAAGAUAGAAUUUGUAAGAAAUUAUGUUAAGGAUUAUUUUUUUUAUAUUUUUGUGAGGUAUAAUUUCAUGGAUGAGGAUAUGUGAUAACAUAAGCUAAAAUUAAAUAAAACUAAAUUUGAAAGGAAUAAAAUUAAGUGUUACACCUCUUCAUCCAGGACCCACCGGUGGCUCCAUAUACUCAACACCUGAAAAAUGGGCCCCUCAAGGACCUGAUCAGCCUGGUCAAAUAUAACAACAAUGUGCUGACUAACAUAAGUACGACAAGCAUGGUGUGCGGGGUCCAACGUCCGCUGUAAUGCCUGUUGAUAUAAAUGUUGGCGCCUUGUGGUCAUCGCCAAGUCUGAAGGCGCCAUCGACAUGUAACAAGAAGCUCUACGAGUAGGGUUUGCACAAUAGCAUCCGUUCAUGUUUGACGAACGUUUUUGAUGAAUGUGUCAACUUUAUAUGAUAUAUCCUGAAAGUACAUAUAACAAUUUUAUCUAUGUUUUUUUCUUUUUAAAAAAGAUUUUCGUUGUAUGGUAUAUAUAACAAUUAAUGAGCAUAUACUUCAUCCUCACAUCAAGUUGUGUAGUAUAUAAUUUAUUUUGUAUAACUCAUAUUUUUAGCACCAUAUUCAUAUUUCAUAUCACUAAUAAAGUUAUGCACUUAUCACACCUAUUUUAAGAGCUAUAUUCAAUGGAUAACUCAUUUUUUUUACUUAUUUUAUAUUUGAAUAACUCACAUAAUCAGUGAGUUUUACUCCCUCCGUUUCGUAUUAGUUGACCUUAUUUCUAAAAAAAUAAAACUUUAAAAAGUUAAAUUGAUUGUUCACAUAAUAUAUAAGUUUUUAUGAAGUGAGCUAUAACUUUUAUUAUAUUUAUGUAGAAAAAAAAUGCAUAACUCACUUGUUAAGUGAGUUAUGUAACUUUUAUUAUAUAACUCACCUUUAAAGUGAGUUAUGUAGAAAAAAAAAUUGCAAAAAUCACUUAAAAAGUGAGUUGUGUAACUUCUAUUAUGCAAUUCACUUUUAAGUGAAUUAUGUUGAAAAAAAUGCAUAACUCACUUAAAAAGCGAGUUAUGUAACUUCUAUUAUAAAAAGUGAGUUAUGUAAAAAAAAAUAAGUUAUUAUGUAUUUUUUCAGAUUUUUAACUCCGUUUAAAUGAGUUAUUAUGUACUUUUUCAGAUUUUUGACUCAGUUUGCUACCUGUCGUUAAAGAUAAUUCAUAUAACUCACUUUUUAAAGUAUAUUAUAGUCACAUUUUAUAUACAUGACAUAUUUUGAUACUUUUUUUAGUUUCAUGUCAUAUUUUGGUUCCAGACUCGCAAUAGUAACAUCAUACUCACUCCAUUUUUUUUAAUUGUGUCCAUCAUUUUUCAUUAGUCAAUUUAACUAAGUUUUAAAACUAAAUUAGAUUAGAUUAAUUUGAAUUUCAUAAAUUAAAUUUUAGAUAUUAAAAAACUACAUAAAAAGUAUUGUAAAUUGCAUUUUUUUUUUAAAAUUUGAUUAAGAAAUACAUCUUAAAAUGUUGGUUAAAAUUUGUAUUGUUUGAAUCUAAAAAUGAAAAAAAAAUGGUUGAGCAAUUAAAAAGGAAUGAAGGGAGUAUCUUUGUAUUUUUCAACCUCAAAUCACCUUUUUUUUUUUUCAAAAUAAUUUUUUAUGAUCAUUGGUUCAUAUCUUCUAAUCCUCAAUGAUUUAUUGAGCAUGAUAGGUUGAAGUAUAAUGUGACAAAUCUUAAUAUAAUAUUGUCAUUGCAGUGAAUUGCUAAUUUUUUUUACUUCUUUUAAGGUGACACCGUUUAUACAAAAUUCUGCAGACGCUACUGGAUUUUCACAACUACUUCCUUAGGAGUUGUCAAAUUGCUCACUUGUCAAAUUGCAUAAGAAUUUGAAAUGUUUUAAAAGUUUUCACAAAUUGUGUGAUUUUCAAAUUUAUGUGAAACGUACUUAUAACUUUAAAAAUUCUAAUGGCAUAUUAAUUAAGAAAACAUUCAGUAGUACUAUAUUUAACACCACUCCCUUUGCUUAGAUAUCAAUCAAUACCAUUUUCAUUCUGAGUGGAAAAGAACCAAAACAGAAAUGGGGACAGUUGCAUCACCACACUUUGUGAUAUUUCCUUUCAUGUCUCAUGGCCACACCAUCCCUCUCCUUCACCUUGCCACCCUUUUGCGCGGGCGUUUCAUCGCUGUCACCGUCUUCACCACCCCUGCAAAUGCCCCCUCCAUUCGCGAUUUUCUACAAGACGUAUCCAUCUCCAUUAUUGAUUUUCCUAAAGGUGUACUUGGCAUCCCUUCCGGUGUUGAAAAUACUGAGAAGCUUCCGUCCAUGUCCUCUUUUGGUCAAUUUGCAAAUGCUACAAAGCUGAUGCAGGCUCUGUCAGCUUUGCAGCAUCCGCCAACGUGUGUGAUAUCUGAGGCAUUUCUUGGAUGGACUCAAGAGUCAGCCGAAAAAAUUGGUAUCCCGAGAUACUGUUUCUUCGGUACGAGUGUCUUCGCUACUACCCUGUGUCAAAUUAUUCGGAUAGAACGUCCUCAUUCUAAAACAAUUUCACCAGACGAGCCUUAUGCAGUUUCAAGUUUUCCAUGGUUGAAAUUGACAAGAAAUGAUUGUCCACCUCCGUUUGGAGACCUUGAGCUAAAAGGUCCAGCCGUGGACUUUAUGAAAGAGCAAGGUAUGUUUGCUUAUCAUGGUAAUUAGUGUCUCAAAGUUAGUUUAUGUCUAUUUAUUUAUCAAUACGCUCCAAUCUUUCACAUUUUCUUUUAAUCAAUCAAUCCUUCACACAUGCAAACACGUGAAAAUAUGCUUUUUGCAAAUUUUAGUUUAAAAUACCAUACAUGCUCUAAUAUCACAUUGGUAAUCAGCUUAUAAUACAUGGAAGAUAUUGUACACUUCUAACAUCCCUCCUUUCAAAUUUAUACAUGAAGCAAUGUUUGACUAUACGGACUUCAAGAAUGAAAUGAUUAAUUUCAACACUUCAAGUUUUAGACAGGCAUUAUAUUUUGUAUAUAAAUCAACUCAUAAAGAGUAAAAUACAAACUUCGAGUGUAGAUCAUUCUUUAAAAUACAUUAACAGAGAAAACAUAAUCCAUCCAUUUUAACAAAUGUGGUGUAUUCAUGUUUAUUAUUUGUGUCGACAGUACUUAAUUACUUUGCAAAGAGCCGUGGCAUGAUCACCAACAGCUUUUACGAACUGGAACCAAGAUUUGCAGACUAUUGGAACCAACACUUUGGACCAAAAUCAUGGUGUGUUGGUCCUCUUUGCCUAGCCAAACAGCCCAUCACAGCUGCAGCACUCGAACACGAAACAUGGAUGCAAUGGCUCAACAAUAAAUUAACAGAAAAACAGCCCGUUCUGUACGUAGCAUUUGGUACUCAGGCAGAAGUUUCCGAGGAGCAAGUUCGAGAAAUAGCAAAGGGGCUUGAAUCGUCCAACACAUGUUUCUUAUGGGUGACAAGACAAAA